AAUCAACCGAGAUUCCCCCAGUAGCGGCGAGCGAACGGGGAGCAGCCCAGAGCCUGAAUCAGUGUGUGUGUUAGUGGAAGCGUCUGGAAAGGCGCGCGAUACAGGGUGACAGCCCCGUACACAAAAAUGCACAUACUGUGAGCUCGAUGAGUAGGGCGGGACACGUGGUAUCCUGUCUGAAUAUGGGGGGACCAUCCUCCAAGGCUAAAUACUCCUGACUGACCGAUAGUGAACCAGUACCGUGAGGGAAAGGCGAAAAGAACCCCGGCGAGGGGAGUGAAAAAGAACCUGAAACCGUGUACGUACAAGCAGUGGGAGCACGCUUAGGCGUGUGACUGCGUACCUUUUGUAUAAUGGGUCAGCGACUUAUAUUCUGUAGCAAGGUUAACCGAAUAGGGGAGCCGAAGGGAAACCGAGUCUUAACUGGGCGUUAAGUUGCAGGGUAUAGACCCGAAACCCGGUGAUCUAGCCAUGGGCAGGUUGAAGGUUGGGUAACACUAACUGGAGGACCGAACCGACUAAUGUUGAAAAAUUAGCGGAUGACUUGUGGCUGGGGGUGAAAGGCCAAUCAAACCGGGAGAUAGCUGGUUCUCCCCGAAAGCUAUUUAGGUAGCGCCUCGUGAAUUCAUCUCCGGGGGUAGAGCACUGUUUCGGCAAGGGGGUCAUCCCGACUUACCAACCCGAUGCAAACUGCGAAUACCGGAGAAUGUUAUCACGGGAGACACACGGCGGGUGCUAACGUCCGUCGUGAAGAGGGAAACAACCCAGACCGCCAGCUAAGGUCCCAAAGUCAUGGUUAAGUGGGAAACGAUGUGGGAAGGCCCAGACAGCCAGGAUGUUGGCUUAGAAGCAGCCAUCAUUUAAAGAAAGCGUAAUAGCUCACUGGUCGAGUCGGCCUGCGCGGAAGAUGUAACGGGGCUAAACCAUGCACCGAAGCUGCGGCAGCGACGCUUAUGCGUUGUUGGGUAGGGGAGCGUUCUGUAAGCCUGCGAAGGUGUGCUGUGAGGCAUGCUGGAGGUAUCAGAAGUGCGAAUGCUGACAUAAGUAACGAUAAAGCGGGUGAAAAGCCCGCUCGCCGGAAGACCAAGGGUUCCUGUCCAACGUUAAUCGGGGCAGGGUGAGUCGACCCCUAAGGCGAGGCCGAAAGGCGUAGUCGAUGGGAAACAGGUUAAUAUUCCUGUACUUGGUGUUACUGCGAAGGGGGGACGGAGAAGGCUAUGUUGGCCGGGCGACGGUUGUCCCGGUUUAAGCGUGUAGGCUGGUUUUCCAGGCAAAUCCGGAAAAUCAAGGCUGAGGCGUGAUGACGAGGCACUACGGUGCUGAAGCAACAAAUGCCCUGCUUCCAGGAAAAGCCUCUAAGCAUCAGGUAACAUCAAAUCGUACCCCAAACCGACACAGGUGGUCAGGUAGAGAAUACCAAGGCGCUUGAGAGAACUCGGGUGAAGGAACUAGGCAAAAUGGUGCCGUAACUUCGGGAGAA
Molecule: ribosomal RNA, 1480 nt
Filed under: Escherichia coli
Lineage: Bacteria; Pseudomonadati; Pseudomonadota; Gammaproteobacteria; Enterobacterales; Enterobacteriaceae
Description: partial 23S ribosomal RNA
Rfam family: Bacterial large subunit ribosomal RNA
Source: RNAcentral